This 67-nucleotide transfer RNA is filed under the name Helota yehi. RNAcentral's name for it is "tRNA-Leu". It matches the Rfam family "tRNA". From Rfam's summary of the family: Transfer RNA (tRNA) molecules are approximately 80 nucleotides in length. Lineage: Eukaryota; Metazoa; Arthropoda; Insecta; Coleoptera; Helotidae. The record is from RNAcentral.
UUCUAAUAUGGCAGAUUAGUGCAUUGAACUUAAACCUCAAAUAUAAAGCUUAAACUUUUUUUAGAAA